This 253-nucleotide ribosomal RNA is filed under the name uncultured bacterium. Its description in RNAcentral is "partial 16S ribosomal RNA". It matches the Rfam family "Bacterial small subunit ribosomal RNA", at positions 524 to 776 of the family's 1533-position model. The record is from RNAcentral.
UACGAAGGGGGCUAGCGUUGUUCGGAUUUACUGGGCGUAAAGCGCACGUAGGCGGAUCUUUAAGUCAGAGGUGAAAUCCCAAGGCUCAACCUUGGAACUGCCUUUGAUACUGGGGAUCUUGAGUCCGGGAGAGGUGAGUGGAACUGCGAGUGUAGAGGUGAAAUCCGUUGAUAUUAUUGGGAACACCAAAAGCGAAGGCAGCUUACUGGAACAUUACUGACACUGAAACAUGAAAGCGUGGGUAGCGAAUGGG